This is a long non-coding RNA of Xenia sp. Carnegie-2017, 437 nucleotides long. RefSeq lists it as uncharacterized. The transcript is spliced from 2 exons. Lineage: Eukaryota; Metazoa; Cnidaria; Anthozoa; Malacalcyonacea; Xeniidae. The record is from RefSeq and is a predicted model, not a curated record.
AUCAAAUAUGACUUUUUUUGGUAUGUAUGAUACGACGUUCGUCUUUGCGAGGUCAUUUCACUAUAAAUCUGAUGAGUAAAUCAAAGUUAUCUCACUAUAAAGUCUGAUGUGGAUCUCAAAUUUAUUGUUCAAGUAAAAACGUCAGGCGUAUAUGCAUGAAGAAAAAUUAAAGCUGGAACGCACCAACUUAAUCUUUGCACACCCAUAAACGAAGAAAGUAUUUCAGUUAUGAACAUUCACUGACAGGAAGCCCCACAUCAACAGAUGCUUGUGCCGAAAUUGCCCAGCUGAGCUUUAUGGAAUUUUUUCAAGUGGAGUGCCGAAUUUACAUAUUUCAAUGUUUGGAAUAGUGCAAUUAUUAUACGUUUGUACAUAAUAAUCCAGUAAAAAUAAUGCUUUUAUUUUUUUCUAAUAUACUCCUACUCUGUUUCUUUCGA